Molecule: ribosomal RNA, 253 nt
Filed under: uncultured bacterium
Lineage: Bacteria
Description: partial 16S ribosomal RNA
Rfam family: Bacterial small subunit ribosomal RNA
Source: RNAcentral
UACGGAGGGUGCAAGCGUUAAUCGGAAUUACUGGGCGUAAAACGCACGCAGGCGGUCUGUCAAGUCGGAUGUGAAAUCCCCGGGCUCAACCUGGGAACUGCAUUCGAAACUGGCAGGCUAGAGUCUUGUAGAGGGGGGUAGAAUUCCAGGUGUAGCGGUGAAAUGCGUAGAGAUCUGGAGGAAUACCGGUGGCGAAGGCGGCCCCCUGGACAAAGACUGACGCUCAGGUGCGAAAGCGUGGGGAGCAAACAGG